Molecule: long non-coding RNA, 575 nt
Filed under: Triticum aestivum (bread wheat)
Lineage: Eukaryota; Viridiplantae; Streptophyta; Magnoliopsida; Poales; Poaceae
Description: long non-coding RNA (TAES_LNC010146)
Source: RNAcentral
ACGAUUCCGAUAAAUGUAUUAAACUAUUGGGAAAAUCAUUUAGUCGAAACCCAGAGGAAAAAUUUAAAUUGUUGGGAAUAUUCUCCUCAUAAUAAUUGUAGUUUUCUGGUCAUACUAGGGAAGACUUAUUUCCACAACAAGAGAAAAGAGAGGUACUUAAAAAGUUUUUCAAAUAAGAGACAGCUGACUUUACAACUACUUCUGUUUCAUUCAUGGCGCAAUUGGACAGAGAUCAAUUUUAGAAGCUGGAAGUGUUUUCUUUCUACACGGAACUAACGGCGCUUUUUCCUCUUCUUGCUUGAAACAUCUUCUUGAAGUCGCUCGAAGUCUUCUUCAUUGAUGUCAGACUUUACCAAUUUGUAAGCAACGAGCUGCCGAAAUUGAGGAAUAAUUUCCUGAUACAAAUGAAAAGGUGAACAACACAUUAGGCAUGACAAAAGAGAAGUGCUGGAAACUAAACAUAGAGCAAGUAUGGAGGAAGAACAAUUUCAUGGCAACAUACAUCAUCAAAUUCCUUCAUGUUCUUCCCAUCCCAGAUAUCCAUGUACAUGAUAGCAUACAGAGCACAAUUGUGG